RNAcentral lists this ribosomal RNA (762 nucleotides) under uncultured Pseudomonadota bacterium. RNAcentral's name for it is "bacterial SSU rRNA". It matches the Rfam family "Bacterial small subunit ribosomal RNA", at positions 81 to 817 of the family's 1533-position model. The record is from RNAcentral. Lineage: Bacteria; Pseudomonadati; Pseudomonadota.
CAAUCCCAAGUAAAGUGGCGCACGGGUGAAUAACGCGUAGGUAAUCUACCCCAAAAUCUGGAAUAACCUGCCGAAAGGCGGGCUAAUACUGGAUAGAGCGACGGAAUCCGUAAUUGGGUUUUUCGGGAAAGGGAGGAAGUAAUUCCCCUCGUUUUGGGAUGAGCCUACGUCUCAUUAGCUAGUUGGUGGGGUAAAAGCCUACCAAGGCUUUGAUGGGUAGCUGGUCUGAGAGGAUGAUCAGCCACACUGGAACUGAAACACGGUCCAGACUCCUACGGGAGGCAGCAGUGGGGAAUCUUGCGCAAUGGACGAAAGUCUGACGCAGCAACGCCGCGUGAGUGAAGAAGGCCUUCGGGUUGUAAAGCUCUGUCGAGUGGGACGAACAAUGAGUUGGUGAAUAGCCAAUUCAUCUGACGGUACCGCUAGAGGAAGCACCGGCUAACUCCGUGCCAGCAGCCGCGGUAAUACGGAGGGUGCAAGCGUUGCUCGGAAUUAUUGGGCGUAAAGGGUAGGGUAAGGUGGUCUCAUUUGUCUGGGGUGAAAUCCUUGAGCUUAACUCAAGAAGUGCCUCAGAAACGGUGAGACUAGAGUUCUGGAGAGGGUCGUGGAAUUCCCGGUGUAGCGGUGAAAUGCGUAGAGAUCGGGAGGAACACCAGAAGGCGAAGGCGGCGACCUGGACAGAUACUGACACUAAACUACGAAAGCAUGGGGAGCAAACAGGAUUAGAUACCCUGGUAGUCCAUGCUGUAAACGAUGGGUACU